This 237-nucleotide ribosomal RNA is filed under the name uncultured Lactobacillus sp. Its description in RNAcentral is "partial 16S ribosomal RNA". It matches the Rfam family "Bacterial small subunit ribosomal RNA", at positions 129 to 355 of the family's 1533-position model. The record is from RNAcentral. Lineage: Bacteria; Bacillati; Bacillota; Bacilli; Lactobacillales; Lactobacillaceae.
CCCAAGAGAUCGGGAUAACACCUGGAAACAGAUGCUAAUACCGGAUAACAACAGAUGAUGCCUAUCAACUGUUUAAAAGAUGGUUCUGCUAUCACUCUUGGAUGGACCUGCGGUGCAUUAGCUAGUUGGUAGGGUAACGGCCUACCAAGGCGAUGAUGCAUAGCCGAGUUGAGAGACUGAUCGGCCACAUUGGGACUGAGAUACGGCCCCAAGACUCCGUACGGGGAGGCAGCAGCU